CCUACGGGUGGCAGCAGUCGAGAAUCAUUCACAAUGGGGGAAACCCUGAUGGUGCGACGCCGCGUGGGGGAAUGAAGGUCUUCGGAUUGUAAACCCCUGUCACGUGGGAGCAAAUUAAAAAGAUAGUACCACAAGAGGAAGAGACGGCUAACUCUGUGCCAGCAGCCGCGGUAAUACAGAGGUCUCAAGCGUUGUUCGGAAUCACUGGGCGUAAGGCGUGCGUAGGCUGUUUCGUAAGUCGUGUGUGAAAGGCGCGGGCUCAACCCGCGGACGGAACAUGAUACUGCGAGACUAGAGUAAUGGAGGGGGAACCGGAAUUCUCGGUGUAGCAGUGAAAUGCGUAGAUAUCGAGAGGAACACUCGUGGCGAAGGCGGGUUCCUGGACAUUAACUGACGCUGAGGCACGAAGGCCAGGGGAGCGAAAGGGAUUAGAUACCCCGGUAGUC
Molecule: ribosomal RNA, 446 nt
Filed under: uncultured bacterium
Lineage: Bacteria
Description: partial 16S ribosomal RNA
Rfam family: Bacterial small subunit ribosomal RNA
Source: RNAcentral